GAGUUUGAUCCUGGCUCAGGAUGAACGCCGGCGGUGUGCCUAAUACAUGCAAGUCGAGCGCACUGGCCCAACUGAUAUGACGUGCUUGCACUGAUUUGACGAUGGAUCACCAGUGAGCGGCGGACGGGUGAGUAACACGUGGGCAACCUGCCCUGGAGUGGGGGAUAACAUUUGGAAACAGAUGCUAAUACCGCAUAACAAUCAAAACCACAUGGUUUUGAUUUCAAAGAUGGUUUCGGCUAUCACUCCAGGAUGGGCCCGCGGUGCAUUAGCUAGUUGGUAAGGUAACGGCUUACCAAGGCGAUGAUGCAUAGCCGAGUUGAGAGACUGAUCGGCCACAAUGGAACUGAGACACGGUCCAUACUCUACGGGAGGCAGCAGUAGGGAAUCUUCCACAAUGGGCGCAAGCCUGAUGGAGCAACACCGCGUGAGUGAAGAAGGGUUUCGGCUCGUAAAGCUCUGUUGUUGGAGAAGAACGUGCGUGAGAGUAACUGUUCACGCAGUGACGGUAUCCAACCAGAAAGUCACGGCUAACUACGUGCCAGCAGCCGCGGUAAUACGUAGGUGGCAAGCGUUAUCCGGAUUUAUUGGGCGUAAAGCGAGCGCAGGCGGUUGCUUAGGUCUGAUGUGAAAGCCUUCGGCUUAACCGAAGAAGGGCAUCGGAAACCGGGCGACUUGAGUGCAGAAGAGGACAGUGGAACUCCAUGUGUAGCGGUGAAAUGCGUAGA
Molecule: ribosomal RNA, 728 nt
Filed under: uncultured bacterium
Lineage: Bacteria
Description: bacterial SSU rRNA
Rfam family: Bacterial small subunit ribosomal RNA
Source: RNAcentral